RNAcentral lists this ribosomal RNA (449 nucleotides) under uncultured bacterium. Its description in RNAcentral is "partial 16S ribosomal RNA". It matches the Rfam family "Bacterial small subunit ribosomal RNA", at positions 29 to 523 of the family's 1533-position model. The record is from RNAcentral.
AACGAACGCUGGCGGCAUGCCUAAUACAUGCAAGUCGAACGAGAUCUUCGGAUCUAGUGGCGCACGGGUGCGUAACGCGUGGGAAUCUGCCCUUGGGUCCGGAAUAACAGCGGGAAACUGCUGCUAAUACCGGAUGAUGACGUAAGUCUAAAGAUUUAUCGCCCAGGGAUGAGCCCGCGUAGGAUUAGGUAGUUGGUGGGGUAAAGGCCUACCAAGCCUACGAUCCUUAGCUGGUCUGAGAGGAUGAUCAGCCACACUGGGACUGAGACACGGCCCAGACUCCUACGGGAGGCAGCAGUAGGGAAUAUUGGACAAUGGGGGCAACCCUGAUCCAGCAAUGCCGCGUGAGUGAUGAAGGCCUUAGGGUUGUAAAGCUCUUUUACCCGGGAUGAUAAUGACAGUACCGGGAGAAUAAGCCCCGGCUAACUCCGUGCCAGCCGCCGCGGUAA